GACGAACGCUGGCGGCGUGCCUAAUACAUGCAAGUAGAACGCUGAAGAGAGGAGCUUACUCUUCUUGGAUGAGUUGCGAACGGGUGAGUAACGCGUAGGUAACCUGCCUUGUAGCGGGGGAUAACUAUUGGAAACGAUAGCUAAUACCGCAUAACAAUGGAUGACACAUGUCAUUUAUUUGAAAGGGGCAAUUGCUCCACUACAAGAUGGACCUGCGUUGUAUUAGCUAGUAGGUGAGGUAAUGGCUCACCUAGGCGACGAUACAUAGCCGACCUGAGAGGGUGAUCGGCCACACUGGGACUGAGACACGGCCCAGACUCCUACGGGAGGCAGCAGUAGGGAAUCUUCGGCAAUGGGGGCAACCCUGACCGAGCAACGCCGCGUGAGUGAAGAAGGUUUUCGGAUCGUAAAGCUCUGUUGUAAGUCAAGAACGGGUGUGAGAGUGGAAAGUCCACACUGUGACGGUAGCUUACCAGAAAGGGACGGCUAACUACGUG
RNAcentral lists this ribosomal RNA (497 nucleotides) under uncultured bacterium. RNAcentral describes it as "partial 16S ribosomal RNA". It matches the Rfam family "Bacterial small subunit ribosomal RNA", at positions 28 to 507 of the family's 1533-position model. The record is from RNAcentral.